This 65-nucleotide transfer RNA is filed under the name Pseudacanthotermes spiniger. RNAcentral's name for it is "tRNA-Pro". Lineage: Eukaryota; Metazoa; Arthropoda; Insecta; Blattodea; Termitidae. The record is from RNAcentral.
CAGGGGGUAUUUUAUGUAAAAUGUUAAUUUUGGGGAUUAAUGAAAUGGUAUUACCUUUCCUCUGA